Molecule: long non-coding RNA, 621 nt
Organism: Gossypium arboreum
Lineage: Eukaryota; Viridiplantae; Streptophyta; Magnoliopsida; Malvales; Malvaceae
Exons: 2
Source: RefSeq, a predicted model, not a curated record
GUAUGUUGAAUUCGAUUCGUGAUUUCGUACAUAAGUGACUCUAAUGUCUAAUGUAUAUAUCGGCUAAGUACCUUGAGCUUCUCUUUUGAUGUUCGAAUGAAUUGUAUUAAAUUGUUGAUGUGAUUAAAAAUGCGUAUGAUCAUUGUGUAUUUGAGCUAAAAGGUGGCCAUAUGACCUAUCAAACUCCUUGUCAUAUUCGGCCAUAAGCUAGCAAAAUGAGACUUUGAUAAGUUAAAUUUGUUUGAAUUAGCUCAAGAGCUUAGGGGACCACAGUUGGAUAAGGGAAAGGAAAAAGUGAUCGAAUAGCCGUUGAAGCCGUUCGACAACAUACGAGAUUUUGGCUCGUCAGCUAUCGGACUCGGGAUUUUUGGAAGUCGAAGUCUCCCACACUAUCAAAGCCCCUUUUGGUACAAUUUUGGUUGAACUUUGAAAUGGCAUGUAUAGGACUACCCUUUUUGUUGUUGGUCAUGUACCCAUGGAUUUUGUGUAAAUUUGGAUAGCCAUGCGAAAAUGGCUUAUAUACGUUUUUAGCAUAGUACUAUAAUCGUUUUGUAUGUUGAUCACUAAGAGGUAUGGAAAUGCUUGGAAACGAUUAGCCAUUGGAAUGGUUAAUCAUGAUUA